This 145-nucleotide unclassified non-coding RNA is filed under the name soil metagenome. Its description in RNAcentral is "partial internal transcribed spacer 1". The record is from RNAcentral.
UAAUAAGUGUUUUAUGGCACUCUUUAAAUCCAUAUCCACCUUGUGUGCAAUGUCAGUCGAUCUUCUUCAUGGAGAUCGACCAAACAUCAACCUUUAUUUUUUAACUCUUUGUCUGAAAAAUAUUAUGAAUAAACAAUUCAAAAUA